ACAUUCUUAGUUUAUUUAGAAUAGCAGCUUGUCGUGCUGUAGGUGGGAAAUUUUCUUAGGAUGUG
RNAcentral lists this transfer RNA (65 nucleotides) under Apharyngostrigea pipientis. RNAcentral describes it as "tRNA-Asp". The record is from RNAcentral. Lineage: Eukaryota; Metazoa; Platyhelminthes; Trematoda; Diplostomida; Strigeidae.